Molecule: ribosomal RNA, 206 nt
Filed under: uncultured bacterium
Lineage: Bacteria
Description: partial 16S ribosomal RNA
Rfam family: Bacterial small subunit ribosomal RNA
Source: RNAcentral
UCUCAGUUCGGAUUGGAGUCUGCAACCCGACUCCAUGAAGCUGGAUUCGCUGUAAUCGCGCAUCAGCCACGGCGCGGUGAAUACGUUCCCGGGCCUUGUACACACCGCCCGUCAAGCCAUGGAAGCCGGGGGUGCCUGAAGUGCGUGACCGCAAGGGACGCCCUAGGGUAAAACCGGUGACUGGGGCUAAGUCGUAACAAGGUAGC